This 236-nucleotide ribosomal RNA is filed under the name uncultured bacterium. RNAcentral's name for it is "partial 16S ribosomal RNA". It matches the Rfam family "Bacterial small subunit ribosomal RNA", at positions 9 to 249 of the family's 1533-position model. The record is from RNAcentral.
GAGUUUGAUCGUGGCUCAGGACGAACGCUGGCGGCGUGCUUAACACAUGCAAGUCGAACGGUAAGGCCCUUCGGGGUACACGAGUGGCGAACGGGUGAGUAACACGUGAGCAACCUGCCCUUGACUCUGGAAUAACAGCUGGAAACAGCUGCUAAUACCGGAUAUGACUUACGACGACAUCGUCGUGAGUGGAAAGCCCUGGCGGUCAAGGAUGGGCUCGCGGCCUAUCAGCUUGU